RNAcentral lists this unclassified non-coding RNA (378 nucleotides) under Hevea brasiliensis (rubber tree). Lineage: Eukaryota; Viridiplantae; Streptophyta; Magnoliopsida; Malpighiales; Euphorbiaceae. The record is from RNAcentral.
UUGACCAGUGAUACUCAUGUAGGGGUUUUGCAAAAUGAACAUUCACCUGUUUCAGCUGAUAGACCUUCAACCAGUAUACAUGAGACAGCAGAACCAGAUGUCUCUAAUUCAGUUGACUCUGAUUCUCAUGUGGCUGGGUUCCAGAACACAGGCCCUCCAGCUCCUGCACAGGUUGUUGUGGAGAAUACACCUGUGGGUUCUGGUCGGCUACUCUGUAAUUGGCAUGAAUUUUGGCGAGCAUUUAGCCUUGAUCACAAUCGUGCAGAUCUGAUCUGGAAUGAGCGCACAAGGCAAGAACUGAGGGAGGGUUUGCAGGCUGAGGUUCAUAAACUUGAUGUUGAGAAGGAGCGUACUGAAGAUAUUGUUCCAGGAGGGGUG